UCUCCGGAGACCGACUGCGGUUCGGCUGCCUCCAGCACAAUCAGAGCAAACACCUGUUUCCAGGAAGACAGGCGGCCAGAGGGAGAAGGGAGUCCCGGGGAAAGGCAGGGAGGACGAAGCGAAGGGGCAGCCGGGGACGCAGUAAAGUAUGUAUGGCUGUGUGCUUUCCCCCAUGGAACUCCAUUGGUCUUCCAUAGCACUGGUGCAUUGGGCAUUCUACCACUGCUGCAAGUGAAGGUCCAUGGAAGAAUUCAAAUUGAGAUCAGUGACAUCCAGGAAAUCGAUGUUGAAGAUGCUGGGGCUGCUGGUGGUGAGGGCGCUAAAGCCUGGUGUGGAAUUUGGCGGAGUGAGGUCCAGCCACUCCAUGGUUUCCCAGGGAGAUUCAGUGAAGCUUAACUGCAGCCCAUUGCUGUCCACAGAAGAGGGUGAAAACUGUGUCUGCAUUGGAGAGAGGGGGCCUGGCAAGAUCUCAUGUGCAUUGAAGAGGUCUUCUGCAGCCUUCCCAGAGAAUCCAUCCAUUAUCCCAUCAAAGUGAGGCUCUUCGCUCCCAAUUUUUAGAAGGGUGACAUCACUCAUCUUUCCUAGGGGGCUCUGGGAAUUUAAUAAGACUUCAAGAUGCUCAUCACUGUCGGUGGCAUAGGGAUCAAAGGGGAUCUGGCUGCCUGAAGAGGCUUGUUCAAAGGAAGCCGAGGGCUUGGUGAGGACAGCAGUUGGACUUCGGGAAGAUCUGGGUAUCUUUGGGACUUUUUGAAGACAUGAGUGAUCCUCUCUAGCGUCUGCUGGCAUUUCUGUGGGCAAUACACGAUGUGACUUGUUAAAUCACUUCAAAUUGAGCAUGCCACACAAUAUGAGUGAGUUACACUUAGAUACAGAAGAUGGCCACGCUUCCCUGGUCACCGCUCACCACCCAGUCUCAUCUCUAAGCUGCUCUAUCAAUCUCCAAUUCAUCUUCCCUCUGGUUUUUCCCAAACCCUUUCCUCUUGGGAAUUCCACUCUGUGAUUAUUAAACUCUCUUCUCUGAAGGUUCCUGGCCUACUCCUCUGACCCCUGGUAGUCCCUUGAGGACACUGAGUCCAUCCCAACACCAUCAGUGAGGGCCUGAAGAUGAGGGACCAGGCGCCAUGCCAUUGCCACUUUCUGAUUGCUACUCCCCCCGCUUCUGAUGACAACUCAGCAGUUUUGGGUUUUGAGGGUGACAGCAAUGCCUCACCCCUAGCCUCCUGGUCACUCCCCCUCAUCUACUGAAAACUCUGCUUCCUACUCCAUUGCCUUUUCCCCACUUGAACCCUUCUCAUUCUGUAACCUGAGCAUCCUUGGAAAUCACAGUGUUCAUGCUGGCCUCUGAGCUCCCGACUUCCUCCUCAACUCCAGUGAUUCCCCCACUGCCACUCUGUCAGACACACCUUGGAUUGUGUCAUCUCCAAAUACUGCAUCCCUCUGAAAGCUCACUUUCAAGCUAUAUUUUCUAUUCUCUGUCCAUCCUCUCCCAACCCUCCAAGCCACUUAUUAUGUACCUUGUAACAAUAAUUUCCCAACCAUUUACAGUCACACUAAUCCAUAGACUCUACUAUGUUAUCACUGUCCACCAGCCCCUCUGGUCUUCACUUCUUUCCUUGUCUAGCCUGUAUUUUUGGCAGAACCCCACACCUGGAGGAACCUGAUCAUCUGCCUUCGCUGAGCAUGCUCUGGAUCAGCAGAACAUUGCAAGAGAAAAAUUAAACAACUAAGCUGACUUGGUUUCACUUUAGAUUUCUGAGGUCAGACCUACAACUGGCAUUUAAGACUGCAAAACAACCCAGCUGUGUUUCUCCAGAAAACUCAGUUCAUUCAUGAUUAAGUCAUAACUGCUCUUCUUCCCCUGAAUCUUCCACACUCCCCUUCUGCAUCCUCACGCUUUUCUGGCCUUGCCACAUAUUUCAUUAAAAAUAUACAAGGGCAGGCUGGGCGUGGUGGCUCACGCCUUUAAUCCCAGCACUUUGGGAGGCCUAGGUGGGCAGAUCACGAGGUCAAGAGAUUGAGACCAUCCUGGCCAACAUGGUGAAACCCCGUCUCUACUAAACAUACAAAAAAUUAGCUGGGCGUGGUGGCACGCGCCUGUAGUCCCAGCUACUUGGGAGGCUGAGGCAGGAGAAUCGCUUGAUCCCAGGAGGCGGAGGUCGCAGUGACCCAAGAUCCCGCCACUGCACUCCAGCCUGGCGACAGAGUGAGACUCCGUCUCAAAAAUGUGUGUGUGUGUGUGUGUGUGUGUGUGUGUGUGUGUGUGUGUGUGUAUGGGCAUCUGAUAUGAACUCUUCUCAUCUUUCCAUUACAGAACUCAUUUACAUACAUAUGUUUGUACCCAUCUCUUCCUUCUUCCCUCUUGCUACAAUGGAGGAAAGGUCUGUUCACUUGCUUGUUGUCUGUCUCCCUUACCAGACUGUAAACUCCAUAGGAAUCAGGAUCUUGUCUGAUCAUAGCACGGAGACUAUGACAACGCCUGGCUACCCCUUCUCUGAGUCCUUUGCUACCUCCGUCUCUGAAAUUUUAAAUGUUUUUGGCUUAAGGAUUCCUCCCUGAGUGCUUUUAUUUUGAUCUACACAUGCUCCUUAGGUCAUCUUAUUCAUUUGUGUGGUUUAAAAUUCUAGGUACACACUCCAUAAUUUUUUAAGUAAAUAAAUGAACAAAUUAAAAGGUGACAAAAAGAACAUGCUGAUUAUGUUUUAUUGCUAGCAUGUAUAACAUUUAAGCAUGAAUGAACCAUCCAGUGGAAGGUUGCUAAUUGAAUUUCACUUUGAGUAGGUAGCACAAAAUGUUCAUUAUCUGCUUUUUUCUUUUAUUAUAAUUGAGAAGGUAGGGGCAUUGAGAUUAGAACAUAGAAAGAAGAAGUGCAGCAAGAGAAAACACUUAAGGAAACAAGGAUUAGGCUGAAACAUGAAAACUAUUAAAAUGAUUGCUGAAAAAUGCUCCUAGGACAAAGGCAGUGAGGAAUCAUCCACUAAGCCUUCUUUUAUCAGCUCUAAAAAUGUGCGAGAAGCUCAAAGGAAAUGGCUCUCCCUGAGGACUACCUGGUACAUCCAACUCACAGUGUGCAUCUGAUCUUGGUACCGAGAGUUCAUUCCUUAGAGUUCAUGUGGGCUCAGAAUGUCCUAAUGGACAGGACACAGGCAGUCUUACCUCCGCUUUCAAUAAGCACGUCCAGGAGUUCAUCCAUCUGCUGACUCCGGGUCAUUUGCUAUUACAAAUUAACCAAAGGAGGACAGACAAUUUAGAAGGUGGUUAUCUCCGUAGGAAAUCAUUAGAAGCAGCACUGCAAGAUUUUGAACUAGGUUUGGUCAAGGUAUUUUUUUUUCCAAUUGUGGCAAAAUACACAUAACUUUAAAUUUACUAUCAACCAUUUUUAAGUGUACAGUUAAGGGGCAUUAAGUACAUUCACACAAUUGUGUGACCAUCACCACCAUCUGUCUUCAGAAUUCUUUUCAUCCUGCAAGACUAAAAUCGUGUACCCAUUCAACCAUAAUUUCCCACACCCCAUCCUUUAGCCCCUGGCAACCGCCAUUUUCCUUUCUGCCUUUACGAAUUUGACUAUUCUAUCUAAGUCCCUCAUAGAAGCGAAUCGUACAGUAUUUAUUCUUUUGCAACUAGCUUAUUUCCCUAAGCGUAAUGUCCUUAAGGUUGAUCUAUGUUGUGACAUGUGUCAGAAUUUCUUUUUUUUAAAGACUGAAUAAAAUUCCAUUGUAUAGAUAUAACAAAAAAAAAAAAAAAAAA
This 3744-nucleotide long non-coding RNA is filed under the name Homo sapiens (human). RNAcentral's name for it is "ARHGAP44 and MYOCD antisense RNA 1 (ARHGAP44-AS1)". The record is from RNAcentral. Lineage: Eukaryota; Metazoa; Chordata; Mammalia; Primates; Hominidae.